Molecule: long non-coding RNA, 1371 nt
Organism: Rhodamnia argentea
Lineage: Eukaryota; Viridiplantae; Streptophyta; Magnoliopsida; Myrtales; Myrtaceae
Exons: 3
Source: RefSeq, a predicted model, not a curated record
AAGACCGCCCCGCCUGCGAUAGCAGCCACCCCAGUAGAAAGAAACCCUAGCUGCCUCCCUCUUCUAUAUAAACACAUCGUUUGUCACCAAAGCUCAUACGCAGUCGCCGUCUGCUCUCAGAUCCAUUCCACCUGGGUCUUCAGUCUUCAUCUUCCUCUCAACAGAUUGAGAUGGUACCUGUGGAAAAUUGUGGUGGAGGACAGCCAACAGUAUGAUGCAAGGGCUAGCAAUUUUUGUUGAAUAGGAAGUCUCAAGAAUGAAGUUCGGGAGGAAGGUGUCAUGAGUGGAUUAUAGGCGAUUGGAGGUAUGGGAAAACAAUUUUAGCUAAAAUCCUUUACAAUUCUAUUUUUGGAAAUUUCGAAGUUCUAUUUCUCUCGAUUGCAUCAAAGGUUUGAGAUAUUCCGAAAACUGGAAUUUGGCUCGUUUGCAAGAAAAAUUGCUAUCCACUCAACCAUGUACUUUCCCAUCAACUCAAGUCAUGCACUUUGCGAGUCCCAUUCUCAUCCUUAGAUCAUAUACUCCACUAGCUGCACAUAGAUCACAACCGUCAGCAGUACUUACUUUCUACUCCACCCGCCGAAAAAACAAGCAAUGUGGAUAAAAAUUUUCUCGUCAUCCAACCAUCAUAGAUUAUUUUAUGGUUUGGCAAGAGCUUAUGUUGAAUUUUUUCAGCUCACUAACACAUAAGUUAGAACCCAGUGCUAAAGAAAGGUGUUGAGUGUAUUUCUGAGCUCUAUCAGCAAGAUCUCUCCUUAUUUCUAUGUUUCUGUUCCAGAAGCAUACUCUUAAAGAGUUCAUGAGCGUCAAAUCCCUCGAUGUGAUCAAUUUCUCUUACCAAAGCUUCAGCAAAGUAUCUGUGUUGUCCUUGCAAACAAAUGAAGUUUCAGGAAUCUCUCGAAGUUUCCUUUGAUGCCACCACGAAAAGCGGAACCUUUAAAAUUUCUUAAAAUAGAGGUGUAAAGGGUUUUAGCUAAAGUUGUCUUCCCUAUACCUCCCAUCGCCCAUAAUCCAUUGGUGAGACCUUCGUUCUGAACUUUCAUCCUGAUACUCCAUAUUCAACAAUGAUUUCAGCUUCCCCAUUCUCUCUAUUUAGAUGUAUGUUGGGCAGAAGAAGUUUGCUUCCCUGGUGAUGAAAGGUAUUGCAAUUUCAAACAGGGCUUCCCAAAUAUAAACGCCUUGAAGUUGGAACAAAUCAUUCACAGUCCAUCAACCCUCACCUCUUCCUCCUCUUUUCAGUAAGUUUGCUUUUUGAGGUAUGCUACUAUCUACAUUACAACCUCAGGUUGAUUUUAUACUCUGUUUCUUAGAUUUAGUUAAUACUCAGUUGUGAUUCUGGUUCUUAAAAGGAGGAAACAGAUGCGAUGAACAUCC